Molecule: long non-coding RNA, 8629 nt
Filed under: Setaria viridis
Lineage: Eukaryota; Viridiplantae; Streptophyta; Magnoliopsida; Poales; Poaceae
Description: long non-coding RNA (SVIR_LNC010115)
Source: RNAcentral
GAGAUUCGAGGACAACAUCCCCCACAGCUGCGAGAAAGAUCCCGUGGUCGUCGAUUUACUUCCGGACGCUCCAUACGACAUGCAGAUCGCCAAUUGCUGCAAAGCAGGGGUGAUAAGUACGUUCAAUCAGGACCCGGCAAAUGCUGUUGCCUCCUUCCAGCUCAGUGUAGGUCUUUCUGAGACUACCACUAAGGCCGUUAGGGUGCCAAGGAACUUCACUCUUAAGACUCCAGGUCCUGGGUACACAUGUGGGCGUGCCAUUGUUGGCAGGCCGACAAGGUUUUUCACCCCGGAUGGGCGCAGGGCAACCCAAGCUCUUAGUAAGUUGCUCAUCUAUUGGACUUUACAUUUUGCUUGCCAUCAGUUGCUUCUAAAAUUGUAGAAAUUAGUUACAAGGUAAACCAUAGUAGCCCUUCUUUUAAGUUUUAAUCAUGAUUGCGAGAAAAUUGGCGUCACAGCACUGUUGUAUACAAGUGAAAAUGCAAGAGGCAUUGCUCUGAAAUGGGAAAAGGUUCACGAGGAGUUUUUUUUUUUACGACAGGUUACUGCUAGGUUCCACGGAUUGUCUCCGUUUCAGUUAAUUUUCUCUCUAGUAAAUAAUGUAUUUUAAAUCCAUAGAAUCAUCAUAAGGUUCCACACAAGUUGUGUUGCAUAAGUUUUAUUUCAGUGGAGUUUAUUAACUUGAUGUGUUUUAACACAGACAUUUUAUAUCUACAGUGACAUGGAAUGUUACUUGCACCUAUUCUCAGUUUCUUGCUCAGAAGACUCCAUCCUGCUGUGUAUCUCUCUCAUCCUCCUACAACAGCACAACCGUGGACUGCCCAACAUGCUCUUGUGGCUGCCAAAACCCAAAAGGGACAAACUGUGUGAAGUGAGUCGACUGUUUAUUUCUACUCUUAAAUCUUUGUAUUCUCCCUGAUGUUAACAUUCCAUUCUUUUUCUCUGCAAAUGUUCUAAUAAUAAGUUGGUGCAUUUCACAGUAAGGAUUCACCUCAUCUACCAUCUGCCAUUGACGGCCCUGGCAAAUGGACUGGCCAGCCUCUCGUCGAGUGCACUUCCCACAUGUGCCCGGUAAGAAUCAACUGGCACGUGAAGCAGAACUUCAAGGACUACUGGAGGGUGAAGAUCACCAUCACAAACUUCAACUUCCGCAUGAACUACACGGAGUGGAACUUAGCCGUUCAGCAUCCAAACUUGGACAAUAUCACCCAGCUGUUCGGCCUCAACUACAAACCAUUGACCCCAUACGGCGCCGGCAUAAGUAAGCAAACAUUGAUAGCCUUUCAUAGAAAGAUUAUGAACCUUCCCCUUUUUUAUCUUUCUGAUGUAGUUUUUCUUGGACCCUUUUCAGAUGACACGGCAAUGCUCUGGGGUGUAAAACCCUACAACGAUGUGCUGAUGCAAGCCGGCAAUAAGAUUGGGAGUGUGCAGGGCGAACUGCUUCUCCGCAAGGACUCCCAGACUUUCACCUUCGGAAAGGGAUGGGCCUUCCCACGCCGUGUGUACUUGAACGGCGAUAACUGUGUCAUGCCAGCUCCUGAAAAUUAUCCGUCGUUGCCGAAAGAACCAUCCGGGUGACCAUGGUUGAUUGUCAUUUCCACAGAAUAAACGUUAUGAGCAGGCUUGAUCGCAUAGAUCGUUUGUACUUAGAAAAUGAAAGGCUACUGCUGGCUGCGCCAGAACUCGGUGGCCUACGGGUUAUGAUUUACGCUGUGACUUGAAUAAGUGAUGAGUUCAUCAUCGAUUAACCAGCUGCAGCAGGAAGUUUGAUGAUGUGAAUCUGUGUGGUUGGAUGAUUGGAUCGAUGGAUGCAAAGCCAUCUCUUGGGCCCAAAGGUAAACAAACCGAGUGGUCGUUCUUGGGCUCUGUUGCCAGCCCACACCUUCUUGCCACCAUCCCGCACAGCUACUGCCUCAGAAGCCAUCAGAACAUCUUCCAGGUGAUCAUACCAUUGGGCCCGAGCACAGAUCAGCUCGCCAUGCUCGUCUCUCACCACAGCACCUGUAGCAGCUCCAUUUCCUCUCUCCCUGUAGAAAGCCGCAUCUGCAUUAAUUUUGACUGCACCCGGUGUUGGCUUUUUCCAGGAGACUCUAGUUCUAGUGACCUGCAUAGGUUUCUGAUGUAUCUGCAACAGGUCCUCAAUCAUUUUGGUUGCAUAAUGCGCCGCAGCAUAAGGGCUCCACGCUGGCUUACCAUGUUGUCUUGCAUUUCUACCAGUCCAAAGUGACCAGCAUCCGCACAUGUAGAGAGUCAGCUCCUCCUCCGAGCAUACACCUCCCACCAGCAGGUCCUUCGCCCAAGUGAGAGGAUGCAGCAUUGGCAUCUUCCUGCCCGUCAUCCCUUUGAUGCACUCCCACUCCCAGAAACGUAGUGCAUAUGUGCACUCAAACAUCGAAUGACAAACCGCCUCCGAUGAAUGGCCACAGUCUGCACAAAAACUUUCCCUCGCAACGUGACGUCGGUGCAAGACUGCCUUUGCCUAGCUAAGCUGUCCACAUUCCCCCGGCAUUCCUUCCACUAGCUGCCAUGCGGACCCCACCGCGGAUCGGUUUUCCCAGCUACAAGCUCCACUCAUUCCAUGCUUCCGUUGGGAAAGAAAUGCAACACAUGGAGGUUGUUAGAGGAGCCGGGCUAUAGACUAGUACAGCUGGAGAUCUUGACGCCGAUACCGAUUAGUUAAUUAAUUAAGCGCAAAAAUCAAUUAAUAAUUUAAAUUAAUCUCGCAUGGUUCGCCACGGGUUGUUGGUACGUCCAGGUUGCAGCACCUACCGCCGCGAUGGCGAUGGGGUCUACAGCGUUGGUUGGUGGACCGGGCUCACGGUCGCGCUCGGCCCCUCGUCCCCUGGCCUGCUGCAAUUUGCGUGGCGCACCGCUGGUGAUCAGUGAAGUGGCGCUGCUCUUUUCUUUUCUUUUUUUUGUUUUCGUUUUCGCCCUCCACCGACAGAAAGAGGGAGGAGGGGCUCUGUCGUGCCCGCGUUUCUUUAUUCCCUCCAGUGUCGGCUCGCAUGUGUGCGUUUAGCCUCGCCUCAUGGGGGUGGUCAUCGCCCUCUGUCAUUACUUAAUCCCACUCGUAAAGCUUCGCACUGAUUGGUCGUUCCGGUUUUGCCCCUGGCGACUGGGACUCUCAGGCUGCAGCAGCUGACUGAACGCUCUUUCACAGUUCACAUGAACACGAUGGUGAUCUUCUGUGCCCAAUUCUGGCUUUACCUCCAGAACUUGUAAUGGUAUCUUUUAGAAGUAAUCUAGUGUCAACUAAAUAUAGGGAUUUGAAUCCUUUCCCACUAUCAAAAGCAUGAUAUUUGAAAUUUGUUUUAUAGUAACCGACAAUGGGAAUUCUUCCGUUGGAUUCAAACUUCUGUUUUCUCCAUGAUGUUUGUUUUAACGAAAGGAGCACGAGAGUGUGCCUAUUUCAUUGAUAAAGAUGAGGGUUACAUCCGGCUAAACCGGAAAGAAAAACGAAAGGAAAAAAAUUAGGAAAACAACAAAGGCGUUAUACUUCCUCCACGAUGUUUUGCACCACUCCAAUUUAUUAUGCAGUUAAUUGAACAAUAAAAGCGGCAAUAAGGAUCGACUUUUUCAUCAGCCUCUUGUGUAUCGCUGUUCCCGUGCAAAGUCCCUGAAGCGCUAGAUUUUCAGCUUUCACUUACCGUUAAUCACCUGUCCGGGCUGUCCCUGUCCCCAAGCGAACAUCACCAACAGCUGUGCAUCACCAGAGGGGCAUUCCGGUAAAUGUCCGCCGGAGGUUGAGGCGUCCACAUCUACUCCCCUCGCGGCAAGAAACGUCCCCGAUAUAACCCCACCCGCACCGAGGCGCGGAAGGAAGCAGCCGCUGCGGAGCAGAGUGUGUCGUGCUGGCUGCCGUCGCAGUAAAAACAGGGGAGGGGAGACGAGGACGCGGCCGCUGCCUGCCGCACAUGCUUUAAGUCUCACUCCCCACCGCCCCAGAUCUCCGCCUCUCUUCCCACCUCCCCACAUUCCCCGGCGCCCCCCUCCCCGCGCGGCCGCAACCGCCGCCGCUGUCAGGAGCGAGAUCGGCGGGGCAGACGGGCGCGGCGCUUGUAUCUGUCGGUGGGAGAGACCCGCGGUGUCGGUGAGGAGGCGGGUGGGAAGGAAGUGAAGGUAGGAAGGAUGGCAGCGGGCGGCAGAUCCGUAGCGUACUGCGCCGCCGUGCUGCUCGCGGCCGCGCUGCUCCUCUCCGCACCGACUGGCACAGGUUCGGCACCUCGGCUCCUCCUCUUCCUCUCUGUGUAUGUCGUCCUGCUUGUGCCGCGAAUUCGCGAGCUAGGUAGAUCCGGCGCCCGAUCGCCGUCGCGUCUGAUGCAACGGGAGCUCGGAGAGCUGCGAUGAUGAUUCCGCUCCCGGUGUCCGUUGCGCGCUGACAAAUGCGGCCCCGUUUGGCUGGUACGGUCAGUGUCGGUGGCUCCAGUGCAGUGUCGGUGUCUUCUAAUUUUGAUCCCACCGUUCUCCAAUUCAGCUCGAUCCUUCGAGCUUUCUCGGUUGCUCCAAUUAUGAUUCGAAAUUAAGUUGGCUUAGCUUCUCGGGAUCGGGAGAGUAGCACACAUGGAGAUGGAGCUGCCCUCUCAGGCUAACCACUUAACCAGGGCCACUGUCAGCUGAAUCUUGUCCUGAGCUGCUCCAUACUGAGCACCUUGAUGAUAGAUCUGUUGAAGAAGUGAUCAAAUUAGUCAAGAUCUUAGUUAAUUCUAGUUCACUUUAAAGGGAUCCAGUGGCAAACUUAGGUGUGUGGAUCUUCCAACUUGGAAUGGGAUGUAACAUAGACUUCAUCUAUUGUGCCAAUUCAUUGUUCUUGCUUCUGUAAUUGGGAUCUGUGUUUGAUGUGGACCCUUUGUUGCUCCUGCAGAGGCUUAUGAUUCCUUGGAUCCAAAUGGCAACAUCACUAUAAAAUGGGAUAUUAUGCAGUGGACUCCUGAUGGAUAUGUCGUAAGUAGCAUGCCCACUCCAACAGCUGCAUCUCUUUCAUCUUCAACCUUGUAGGACCUUAUAUAUUCUAUUGAAUGUUCCGGUUUGACCUGUACAAUAUAUGUAAAAUGGCCAAUGGCUAGAGUAGAAAGCUACAUCACAGAUAACAAGAAUAACAUGCAAAAUUUAUGUCAGCAGCAUGCUACGCAUACCCAAUUCAUGAUUUCCCAUAAAAUCUCUCCUGCAGGCUGUUGUCACAAUGUUCAACUACCAACAAUUCCGGCACAUUGGGGCACCUGGGUGGCAGCUUGGGUGGACAUGGGCAAAGAAGGAGGUCAUAUGGUCGAUGGUUGGGGCACAGACUACCGAACAGGGUGACUGUUCGAAGUUUAAGGGCAACACUCCCCACUGCUGCAAAAAAGAUCCCACGAUCGUCGAUUUACUUCCAGGCACUCCAUACAACAUGCAGAUUGCCAAUUGCUGCAAAGCAGGAGUUAUAAAUACAUUUAACCAGGACCCGGCAAAUGCUGCUGCCUCCUUCCAGAUUAGUGUAGGUCUUGCUGGGACUACCAAUAAGACUGUUAAGGUGCCGAAGAACUUCACUCUUAAGACUCCAGGUCCUGGGUACACAUGUGGGCGUGCCAUUGUUGGCAGGCCGACAAAGUUUUUCACCUCGGAUGGGCGCAGGGCAACCCAAGCUCUUAGUAAGUUUCUCAUCUAUUGGACUCUACAUUUUACUUGCUAUCAGUUGCUUGUGUACUUUGUGGAAAUGAGGUACAUCUAAAUCAUCGUAUUGUUCAGCGUGUUCCUAUUCCUUAAUCAGAAUUUCAGGUUACGUUACUUGCCAGAUUAGUUUUUUUCUCGAACAUGCAGGAGAGCUGCGUAUCUAUAUAUUAAGAAGUACUUGCCAGAUUAGUAAAGAAAUGAAAACGUUUUAACAGGAGGGAUUUAUUCUCAAAGAAGGAAUGCUAACUGAUAUCUUUUGACAAUAAGCUGCUGCUAGGCCCAAUAAAAUGUAGUCUUUUUUUUUGUUCUUCACAAAAUAAUAAAUUAAAAUUGCAGAUAGUUGUAGGAAAGUUUCCGAUUCCAUACAAGUUGCUGUUCUGCCAAAAUUUUAUUGUAGAGGUUUUUAUUUCACUUGAUGGUUCUUAAUAAAGACAUUCUCUAUCUGCAGUGACAUGGAAUGUGACUUGCACAUAUUCCCAAUUUCUUGCUCAAAAGACUCCAUCCUGCUGUGUCUCUCUUUCAUCAUUUUACAAUGACACAAUUGUGAACUGCCCAACAUGCUCUUGUGGCUGCCAAAAUCCAAAUGGGUCAAACUGUGUGAAGUGAGUUUACCUACUUUUUACUCUUAAUACACUUCAUACUAAGGUUCUAUUUUGUCUUUAUAAAUGUCUAAUGAGUAUGGUUUCAUUUUCACAGUGAGGAUUCACCUAAUCUACAAUCUGCAAUUGAUGGCCCUGGAAAAUGGACUGGUCAGCCUCUUGUACAAUGCACUUCCCACAUGUGCCCGAUAAGAAUCCAUUGGCAUGUGAAGCUCAACUACAAGGAAUACUGGAGAGUGAAAAUCACUAUCACCAACUUCAACUUCCGCAUGAAUUACACGCAGUGGAACUUAGUCGCUCAGCAUCCAAACUUUGAUAAUAUCACUCAGCUGUUCAGCUUCAACUACAAACCACUUACCCCAUAUGGCAGUGGCAUAAGUAAGAAACUUGUCUUCUUUUCAAAAAAAGAAAUCAAAAUAAUCUCCCUCCCUCCCCUGAUGUUGUUUGCUUGUCCCAUUUUCAGAUGAUACGGCUAUGUUCUGGGGUGUAAAAUUCUACAAUGAUUUGCUGAUGCAAGCUGGUAAACUUGGGAAUGUGCAAUCAGAACUACUUCUCCGCAAGGACUCCCAGACUUUCACCUUCGAAAAGGGAUGGGCCUUCCCACGCCGAGUGUACUUCAAUGGUGACAACUGUGUCAUGCCAUCUCCUGAAAACUAUCCAUGGUUGCCCAACGCAAGCCCUCUAACAAAACAACCGCUGACCCUCCCACUUUUAGUAUUCUGGGUUGUGUUGGCUACUCUGUUGGCAUAUGCAUGAUGAGUGGGAUCAAGAGGUUUAGUGAGCUUCAAGUUGAUGUCAGAUUCCAUGAGGUGCACUGCAACGGGUCAUUUGUUCAUUCAAUUCCAUGGUUGCACAGAAGAGAUGACACCACGCUGAGAAAAAAAGUUUAUGUGUGUGUGUUUUUGUAAGUUAAAGGGCCGAAAUGUAUUUCUUGUUUCGUAUAUACUGGCCCCACAACACUUAGUUACUGCAAACUAGGUAAUUACAGUUGCACCUUUUGUAUUUUAUAGCAAACUCAGAAUUUUUCAUUGGAUUAUAUGACCUCUUGUAGUAAAUGCGCGGUUUUCGUUUUGUAAGAUUUGUUGAACAGAAAAGACAAUGAUGAUUGAGAUCACUAAGUUCUGGCAUCUUAAUUCAUUCCUGCUGCUCACUGAGCUUUUUGAGCUAAAUAGAUAACAUCUACUAAUGGUCAUUUUCACUGAACCAAAAGAGCAAGAACACAGAACAAGAAUAAUUGCAACACUGGGUUUAUUUACUACAGAAACUGCAAACCGCAAUCAUGAAUUGGCGCUCAUGUUAAUUUGCAGCAUCAAUUAAGAUGAUCUAUGACUGUGAAUCGUAAAAUGACCUAUCAAUAAAAGGAUGAUGUAAAUUCUAGUUGGCCUGGGAACUCCUAGGAGCCUGCUUAGUUGCUGUGCCUUGUCACAUACCAAAUGCUUAGGAAGCAGUUCUGAGCCGCUGAGAAGAAUAGCAAAAGGAUAGUUUGCUGAUAGUUGUGGCUUGUGGGCUACUGCCUAGUUGAAGAAUGGCCUGACAGGACAGGUGCUAUAUAAUUGUGUACACAACAUAUAUCCUUGAACGAAACUGGAUCACAGAUUUCUACCUAUGAUACUGCAGGCCUUGUUUAGUUCCCAAUUUGGGAGUGGCAAAAUUAGCAUUUUGCCAUAAAUGCGCAACUGUAGCAUUUCGUUUGUAUUUAUGAAUUAUUGUCCAAACAUUGACUAAUUAGGCUCAAAAGAUUCGUCUCGCAAAGUACAACAAAACUGUGCAAUUAGUUUUUGAUUUCAUCUACAUUUAGUACUCCAUGCAUGUACCGCAAGUUUGAUGUGAUGGGGAAUCUUUUUUUUGCAUAGUGCCAAAGUUGGGAUUUUGGAGGGAAGUAAACAAGGGCUGAAGUUCUAACCAGGAGCUGGAAGCAACGGAAGUACAAAACUGCAGAUUCAAUAAUAGAUCUAACCAGAGCAAAGAGCAACACUCAAAAUUAUAACAGAACCACAACAAUGAAAUAUUUUAAUACCUGCAAAAUACAUCUCAUAAUCUUAUGAGCAACAAACGAAUUCAUCGAAACAACUCACUUUAUAUUCGAUGCAGUUGGAUUGCUCUGAACCCACUCUGAAGAAACAUGGCCUUCUGUGAAGGAAACCAAAGCUUUUGGCUUGUGCCCAGCCUCAUCGUGCUAGUGCUCUGAAGCCUCAGAGAGUCAGAGAUCAGAGGAGGGCAUAUGCCACCAUGACCUGGUAUAUAUAUCCAGGAGAGACCAUAGAUGCAGUGCAGUCGAAGGAUGGGCUGAUGGUUCGGCCGUAGCUUUUGGUUUGUUGGCUAGUUGCGGUUCAAAGCAAACCCUGGCUUCUCAUCACCCUCACCUUCCACACGUUGGUUUUUGC